AAUGCUUUCAACUCGAAAAUUUCAUAAGGGGUACCCCUUGCCAUUUUUUUGAGAAGUUUUGCAAAAAAAAUUAAAUUGAUUUAUUUUAAUGCCAAUUGGUUGCAAUGAGUUUCUUUUCACUCAAAUAAUGCUUGAAACAAAAAAAAAGAGUAAAAAAUAAUAAAAAAUGUGAAAAAUCUAUAAAUUUGAAAAUUUCAUAAGGCUCAUUUUUGCCCCAAGUUUUGCCUAUAACUCGGUCGGUAUCCAACGGAUCGCCAAUCUUUAACUUGUGGUCGAUAGAUGGCACCAAUGGCUACAUUUUCUUCUUGGACGGCCAUGCCCUCAGAUGUCUGUGCCAAAAGUUAUGCGAGGAAUCAAGUUGCUUACCCUGUUUAAGAAAAUGUAAAAUUUUCCUCAUUUUUCUGCAAUUCAGCAAAAUUUUUAAAUGUGAUAUUUUUUAUUGCGAAUUUGUUGCAAUAAGUUUCUUUUCACUCAAAUAAUGCUUUAAAUUAAAAAAAGAAUAAAAAAUGAGAAAAAAAAUUUCAAAAAAUUUUCAACUCGAAAAUUUUAUAAGGGGUACCCCUUGCCAUUUUUUUGAGAAAUUUUUCAAAAAAAAAUUAAAUUGAUUUAUUUUAAUGCCGAUUGGUUGCAAUGAGUUUCUUUUCACUCAAAUAAUGCUUGAAACAAAAAAAAGAUAAAAAAUAAUAAAAAAUGUGAAAAAUCUAUAAAUUUGAAAAUUUCAUAAGGCUCAUUUUUGCCCCAAGUUUUGCCUAUAACUCGGUCGGUAUCCAACGGAUCGCCAAUCUUUAACUUGUGGUCGAUAGAUGGCACCAAUGGCUACAUUUUCUUCUUGGACGGCCAAGCCCUCAGAUGUCUGUGUCAGAAGUUAUUCGAGGAACCAAGUUCCUUACCCUGUUUGAGAAAAUGUAAAAUUUUCCUCAUUUUUCUGCAAUUCAGCAAAAUUUUUAAAUGUGAUAUUUUUUAUUGCGAAUUUGUUGCAAUAAGUUUCUUUUCACUCAAAUAAUGCUUUUAAUUAAAAAAAGAAUAAAAAAUGAAAAAAAAAAUUUCAAAAAAUUUUCAACUUGAAAAUUUCAUAAGGGGUACCCCUUGCCAUUUUUUUGAGAAAUUUUUCAAAAAAAUUUAAAUUGAUUUAUUUUAAUGCCAAUUGGUUGCAAUGAGUUUCUUUUCACUCAAAUAAUGCUUGACACAAAAAAAAAGAGUAAAAAAUAAUAAAAAAUGUGAAAAAUCUAUAAAUUUGAAAAUUUCAUAAGGCUUAUUUUUGCCCCAAGUUUUGCCUAUAACUCGGUCGGUAUCCAACGGAUCGCCAAUCUUUAACUUGUGGUCGAUAGAUGGCACCAAUGGCUACAUUUUCUUCUUGGACGGCCAAGCCCUCAGAUGUCUGUGUCAGAAGUUAUUCGAGGAACCAAGUUCCUUACCCUGUUUGAGAAAAUGUAAAAUUUUCCUCAUUUUUGAGCAAUUUAGGAAAAUUUAUAUAUGUGAUAUAUUUAAAUGCGAAUUUGUUGCAAUAAGUUUCUUUUCACUCAAAUAAUGCUUUUAAAGAAGAAAAGAAUAUAAAGCAAAAAAUAAAUAUAAAAAAUUCAAAAAAUUUGAAAAUUUCCUAAGGCUAUAACUAGUGGUUCAAGAGCGAAAGAGGUAUUUCAAUCGCUCCGGUCAUCUUACUUUGCGCGCUCCCGCACAGCUCACGGGAAAAAGAUGUAGCCGUAUCGCAGGAAUCGCUCCUGGGAGCGCAUAGCACAAUCGCUCCUGUGUACAGCGCUCCGUGUGGAGCUACCUCAAGCGCACCGCACACUUUAGAGAGCGAGAGCGGUGAAAAGGAAAAGCCUUAGCAAAUUUUCAAAUGGGAGCGCAUCGCACAAUCGCUCCUGUGUGUAGCGCUCCGUACGGAGCUACCUCUUUUUCCCGUGGGCUAUGCGGUAGCGCGCACAAUAAGAUGAGCGGAGCGACACUAGAGGAGAGAUUUCGUUCGAAGAAGAACGAAACUUUUCACUCAAUUCAAUUGUUAGACACAUACCCCCUCUUAAGAUUUUAACUUUCUUAGUUGAAGCAUGUAUAGGGGGUCUACUAUACCUGGUAAAAGUGUAAUAUAAUGUUUUAAAAGUUAAUUUUGUCCAUACAUUUUGUGCAUUGUGGCCCAUUGUGCAGAUAGAGCAAAAAUCGCGAGCUGCAGUUACGCAUCGUGUAAAGACACCCUUACAAAGCAGAACUCCUCACACCGAUUUACAUUGAGACAUUUUUUGUUUUCCCCUUC
Molecule: long non-coding RNA, 2248 nt
Organism: Anopheles funestus (African malaria mosquito)
Lineage: Eukaryota; Metazoa; Arthropoda; Insecta; Diptera; Culicidae
Exons: 3
Source: RefSeq, a predicted model, not a curated record